CAAAGUUGGGGACACCCCUCUGGGUUCGCCCCCCAGACCGCACUGUUUCCAUGGGGUGAGGGUGGGAAAGGUGCACCUUAUUUUUGUAACUAGGGUUUAUUUGGUGAUAACAGGGGGUUGGGGGAUGCUCCCCCCCUCUCCCCCUGUGCCCCCAGGUGAAUAAAGGGCAGAGGAGCGGCUGUGGGGUUCCGCAUGUCACACAGGAGGGACUUUGGGGACAGAUCACUGCAGCAGCCCGGCCCCAUAACCACUACAGCCCCAAUCCCAUAGCCAUAACCCCCACAUCCCAUAGCUAUAUCCCACCUUAUCCCAUCCCAUAGCCCAUCCUGUAUCUAUAUCCCCAAAUCCAUCCCUUAUCCCCAUAUCCCAUUCCACAUCCAUCCUAUAUCCCAUCUCAUAUUCUUCCUAUAUUCCAUCACGUAUCCAUAUCCCCACACCCCGUAUCCCAUUCCUAUCCUACCCCAUAUACCAUAACCGCAGCCCUUCCCAUAUCCAUAUCCCCGUAUCCGUUCCACAUCUUUAUCCCAUUCCAGUAUCAUCCCAAACCCAUCUCAUAUCCAUAUCCCAUAUCCAUUCCAUGGACUUAUGCUGUAUCCAGAGCCCAUCCCAUACGUAUCCCCUUUCCCGAUAUCCCAUCCCGUAUCCAUAUCCCAUAUCCUCACACCCUCCAUCCCAAUCCCAACCCCGCAUGCCACCUGACAAUCCCAGUCCCAAUCCCACAUCCCAACCUCAAUUAGCAAGAGGGUGAACCCAAGGCCAAAGGCUGCCCCAUAGGCUGCAG
RNAcentral lists this long non-coding RNA (781 nucleotides) under Numida meleagris (helmeted guineafowl). RNAcentral's name for it is "lncRNA (ENSNMEG00000001067.1)". Lineage: Eukaryota; Metazoa; Chordata; Aves; Galliformes; Numididae. The record is from RNAcentral.